This 497-nucleotide ribosomal RNA is filed under the name uncultured bacterium. RNAcentral describes it as "partial 16S ribosomal RNA". It matches the Rfam family "Bacterial small subunit ribosomal RNA", at positions 28 to 507 of the family's 1533-position model. The record is from RNAcentral.
GAUGAACGCUGGCGGCGUGCCUAAUACAUGCAAGUCGAGCGAACAGACGAGGAGCUUGCUCCUCUGACGUUAGCGGCGGACGGGUGAGUAACACGUGGAUAACCUACCUAUAAGACUGGGAUAACUUCGGGAAACCGGAGCUAAUACCGGAUAAUAUAUUGAACCGCAUGGUUCAAUAUUGAAAGACGGUUUUGCUGUCUCUUAUAGAUGGAUCCGCGCCGCAUUAGCUAGUUGGUAAGGUAACGGCUUACCAAGGCAACGAUGCGUAGCCGACCUGAGAGGGUGAUAGGCCACACGGGAACGGAGACACGGACCAGACUACUACGGGAGGCAGCAGUAGGGAAUCGUAGGCAAUGGGCGAAAGCCUGACGGAGCAACGGCGCGUGAGUGAUGAAGGUCUUCGGUUCGUAAAACUCUGUUAUUAGGGAAGAACAAAUGUGUAAGUAACUAUGCACGUCUUGACGGUACCUAAUCAGAAAGCCACGGCUAACUACGUG